RNAcentral lists this ribosomal RNA (465 nucleotides) under uncultured bacterium. Its description in RNAcentral is "partial 16S ribosomal RNA". It matches the Rfam family "Bacterial small subunit ribosomal RNA", at positions 28 to 507 of the family's 1533-position model. The record is from RNAcentral.
GACGAACGCUGGCGGCGUGCUUAACACAUGCAAGUCGUACGGAAAGGCCCUUUCCGGGGUCCACGAGCGGCGACCGGGUGCGUAACACGUGCGUAACCUUCCCACACCUUUGGGAUAACGCUAGCAACCUGGUACCAGUGCUGGUUCUGUGCUCCUUCUUCAUGGUGGGGGUUGGAAAGCUCCGGCGGUUGUGGAUGGACUCGCGGCCUAUCAGCUUGUUGGGGGGGUAGUGGCCUACCAAGGCGGCUUCGGGUAGCCGGCCUGCGUGAGUGACCGGCGACAUUGGGACUGAGGGACGGCCCAGAUACCUACGGGAGGCAGCAGUGGGGAAUAUUGCACAAUGGGCGCAAGCCUGAUGCAGAAAGGCCGCGGGCGGGAUGACGGCCUUCGGGUUGUAAACCGCAUUCAGCAGGGACGAAGCUUGUUGUGACGGUACCUGAAGAAGAAGCACCGGCUAACUACGUG